UUUGAAUUAGUUAACCCUAAGAUUUGGAUUAGUUAACCGUACGGAUAUAAGUGUAUAUUUAUCUCUUUAAUAAAACAUUUUGGUCAUUUUGAUUCUUAGAGUCUAUAUUUGUGACAUAAACUUGCUAUCCUAAGGUAUUUCCCUUUAAAAAAAUUAACUUCUUUUUUAAAACUUGAUCUCACACAACAUAGAAUAUAUUUUCAAUGUAAU
RNAcentral lists this long non-coding RNA (210 nucleotides) under Brassica napus (rape). Its description in RNAcentral is "long non-coding RNA (BNAP_LNC001670)". Lineage: Eukaryota; Viridiplantae; Streptophyta; Magnoliopsida; Brassicales; Brassicaceae. The record is from RNAcentral.